CAGCAGCCGCGGUAAUACGUAGGUGGCAAGCGUUGUCCGGAAUUAUUGGGCGUAAAGCGCGCGCAGGUGGUUUAAUAAGUCUGAUGUGAAAGCCCACGGCUCAACCGUGGAGGGUCAUUGGAAACUGUUAAACUUGAGUGCAGGAGAGAAAAGUGGAAUUCCUAGUGUAGCGGUGAAAUGCGUAGAGGUUAGGAGGAACACCAGUGGCGAAGGCGGCUUUUUGGCCUGUAACUGACACUGAGGCGCGAAAGCGUGGGGAGCAAACAGGAUUAGAUACCCCGGUAGUCCCUGUCUCUUAUAC
This 301-nucleotide ribosomal RNA is filed under the name uncultured bacterium. Its description in RNAcentral is "partial 16S ribosomal RNA". It matches the Rfam family "Bacterial small subunit ribosomal RNA", at positions 509 to 807 of the family's 1533-position model. The record is from RNAcentral.